CCUACGGGAGGCUGCAGUGGGGAAUAUUGCACAAUGGGGGAAACCCUGAUGCAGCGACGCCGCGUGAGUGAUGAAGUUUCUCGGAACGUAAAGCUCUAUCAGCAGGGAAGAAAAUUACGGUACCUGAUCAACAAGCCCCGGCCAACUACGGCACAGCAGCCGCGGUAAUACGCAGGGGGCAAGCGUUAGGCGGAUUUACUGGGUGUAAAGGGAACGUAGACGGCGCGGCAAGUCAGGAGUGAAAGCCCAUGGCUUAACCAUGGUACUGCUCUGGAAACUGUGGAGCUGGAGUGCGGGAGGGGCAGGCGGAAUUCCUAGUGUAGCGGUGAAAUGCGUAGAUAUUAGGAGGAACAUCAGCGGCGAAGGCGGCCUGCUGGACCGUAACUGACGUUGAGGCUCGAAAGCGUGGGUAGCAAACAGGAUUAGAUACCCUUGUAGUC
This 440-nucleotide ribosomal RNA is filed under the name uncultured bacterium. Its description in RNAcentral is "partial 16S ribosomal RNA". It matches the Rfam family "Bacterial small subunit ribosomal RNA", at positions 338 to 795 of the family's 1533-position model. The record is from RNAcentral.